AAUCAACAAAGACUGACCUCGCUUUGUUAUAUAGAGUCUCUCAUAACUAAGGAAGCAUAUAUGAGUUUUCUGAGUCAAGACCUAUAGUAACUGUUUGGGGUUUUGUUAGGUUAGGUUAGGUUAAGUUUAGGGUAUCUUCAAACACAUGAUAGCCAGCACCUUAUGGUAUAAAUCAACAAAGAAUGACCUCACUUUGUUGUAUAGAAAGUCUCAUAACUAAGAAAGCAUAUAUGAGUUUUCUGAGUCAAGACCUAUAGUAACUGUUUGGGGUUUUGUUAGGUUAAGUUUAGGAUAUCUUCAAACACAUGAUAGCCAGCACCUUAUGGUAUAAAUCAACAAAGAAUGACCUCACUUUGUUGUAUAGAAAGUCUCAUAACUAAGGAAGCAUAUACGAGUUUUCUGAGUCAAGACCUAUAGUAACUGUUUGGGGUUUUGUUAGGUUAGGUUAGGUUAAGUUUAGGAUAUCUUCAAACACAAGAUAGCCAGCACCUUAUGGUAUAAAUCAACAAAGAAUGACCUCACUUUGUUGUAUAGAAAGUCUCAUAACUAAGAAAGCAUAUAUGAGUUUUCUGAGUCAAGACCUAUAGUAACUGUUUGGGGUUUUGUUAGGUUAAGUUUAGGGUAUCUUCAAACACAUGAUAGCCAGCACCUUAUGGUAUAAAUCAACAAAGAAUGACCCCACUUUGUUGUAUAGAAAGUCUCAUAACUAAGGAAGCAUAUAUGAGUUUUCUGAGUCAAGACCUAUAGUAACUGUUUGGGGUUUUGUUAGGUUAGGUUAGGUUAAGUUUAGGGUAUCUUCAAACACAUGAUAGCCAGCACCUUAUGGUAUAAAUCAACAAAGAAUGACCUCACUUUGUUGUAUAGAAAGUCUCAUAACUAAGGAAGCAUAUAUGAGUUUUCUGAGUCAAGACCUAUAGUAACUGUUUGGGGUUUUGUUAGGUUAGGU
Eriocheir sinensis (Chinese mitten crab) is the source of this 946-nucleotide long non-coding RNA. RefSeq lists it as uncharacterized. The transcript is spliced from 4 exons. NCBI's taxonomy places the organism in Eukaryota, Metazoa, Arthropoda, Malacostraca, Decapoda, Varunidae. The record is from RefSeq and is a predicted model, not a curated record.